CGAGGCAGAAAUGCGUAGUCGAUGGGAAACAGGUCAAUAUUCCUGUACCGAUUCUAGAUGCGAUGUGGGGACGGAGAAGGUUAGGUCAGCCAUCUGUUGGAAUAGGUGGUUUAAGCGUGUAGGCGUGCCCCUUAGGCAAAUCCGGGGGGCUUAGCUGAGGCGUGACGACGAGGUCUCUUUGAGACCGAAGUGAUUGAUACCCUGCUUCCAGGAAAAGCCACUAAGCUUCAGUCUAGAAUUGACCGUACCGCAAACCGACACAGGUGGGCAGGUAGAAGAUACUAAGGCGCUUGAGAGAACUCAGGAGAAGGAACUCGGCAAAUUGAUACCGUAACUUCGGGAGAAGGUAUGCCCCUGUAGCUUGUAGGAGAACAUCCGAAGGGCGACGGGGCCGCAGAGAAUCGGUGGCUGCGACUGUUUAUUAAAAACACAGCACUCUGCAAACACGAAAGUGGACGUAUAGGGUGUGACGCCUGCCCGGUGCCGGAAGGUUAAGUGAUGGGGUGCAAGCUCUUGAUCGAAGCCCCGGUAAACGGCGGCCGUAACAAUAACGGUCCUAAGGUAGCGAAAUUCCUUGUCGGGUAAGUUCCGACCUGCACGAAUGGCGUAACGAUGGCCACACUGUCUCCUCCUGAGACUCAGCGAAGUUGAAGUGUUUGUGAAGAUGCAAUCUCCCCGCGGCUAGACGGAAAGACCCCAUGAACCUUUACUGUAGCUUUGCAUUGGACUUUGACGGGACUUGUGUAGGAUAGGUGGGAGGCGAUGAGACCGGGACGCUAGUUCCGGAGGAGCCGUCCUUGAAAUACCACCCUGGUGUCGUUGAGGUUCUAACCUAGGUCUGUGAAUCCAGAUCGGGGACCGUGCAUGGUAGGCAGUUUGACUGGGGCGGUCUCCUCCCAAAAGGCAACGGAGGAGUACGAAGGUCUUCUAGGUACGGUCGGACAUCGUACUGAUAGUGCAAUGGCAAAAGAAGGCUUGACUGCGAGACCGACAAGUCGAGCAGGUGCGAAAGCAGGUCAUAGUGAUCCGGUGGUUCUGUAUGGAAGGGCCAUCGCUCAACGGAUAAAAGGUACUCUGGGGAUAACAGGCUGAUUCCGCCCAAGAGUUCACAUCGACGGCUGAGUUUGGCACCUCGAUGUCGGCUCAUCACAUCCUGGGGCUGUAGCCGGUCCCAAGGGUAUGGCUGUUCGCCAUUUAAAGUGGUACGUGAGCUGGGUUUAAAACGUCGUGAGACAGUUUGGUCCCUAUCUGCCGUGGGCGCUGGAUAUUUGAGGGGGCCUGCUCCUAGUACGAGAGGACCGGAGUGGACGAAUCUCUGGUGUACCGGUUGUGACGCCAGUCGCAUCGCCGGGUAGCUAAAUUCGGAAGAGAUAACCGCUGAAAGCAUCUAAGCGGGAAACUCGCCUCAAGAUGAGAUAUCCCUGGGAACUUGAUUCCCCUGAAGGGUCGUU
This 1451-nucleotide ribosomal RNA is filed under the name metagenome. Its description in RNAcentral is "bacterial LSU rRNA". It matches the Rfam family "Bacterial large subunit ribosomal RNA", at positions 1397 to 2839 of the family's 2925-position model. The record is from RNAcentral.